RNAcentral lists this ribosomal RNA (484 nucleotides) under uncultured bacterium. RNAcentral's name for it is "partial 16S ribosomal RNA". It matches the Rfam family "Bacterial small subunit ribosomal RNA", at positions 30 to 507 of the family's 1533-position model. The record is from RNAcentral.
AUUGAACGCUGGCGGCAGGCCUAACACAUGCAAGUCGAGCGGAUGAAGGGAGCUUGCUCCUGGAUUCAGCGGCGGACGGGCGAGUAAUGCCUAGGAAUCUGCCUGGUAGUGGGGGAUAACGUCCGGAAACGGGAGCUAAUACCGCAUACGUCCUGAGGGAGAAAGUGGGGGAUCUUCGGACCUCACGCUAUCAGAUGAGCCUAGGUCGGAUUAGCUAGUUGGGGGGGUAAAGGCCUACCAAGGCGACGAUCCGUAACUGGUCUGAGAGGAUGAUCAGUGACACUGGAACUGAGACACGUUCCAGACUCCUACGGGAGGCAGCAGUGGGGAAUAUUGGACAAUGGGCGAAAGCCUGAUCCAGCCAUGCCGCGUGUGUGAAGAAGGUCUUCGGAUUGUAAAGCACUUUAGGUUGGGAGGAAGGGCAGUAAGUUAAUAUCUUGCUGUUUUGACGUUACCAACAGAAUAAGCACCGGCUAACUUCGUG